UACAUUUUAGUAUAAGAGGUACGGAAGUUUUUGAUAUUUCCAGGAGCAGUUUAAUUCUGCUAAAUGUAA
This 69-nucleotide transfer RNA is filed under the name Dorcus tityus. RNAcentral describes it as "tRNA-Gln". Lineage: Eukaryota; Metazoa; Arthropoda; Insecta; Coleoptera; Lucanidae. The record is from RNAcentral.